This is a long non-coding RNA of Fukomys damarensis (Damara mole-rat), 948 nucleotides long. RefSeq lists it as uncharacterized. NCBI's taxonomy places the organism in Eukaryota, Metazoa, Chordata, Mammalia, Rodentia, Bathyergidae. The transcript is spliced from 3 exons. The record is from RefSeq and is a predicted model, not a curated record.
GCCGAGAGUAACGACCGAUCCUGACGCCGCGGGGUCCCUGCCCCAGGGGGCCCCCAACUUCCUCGCGCGCCACAGUCGCCAGGUUGAGGCUUCUUAGUACGCAGACUGCGGGCCCACCCCGGCGUUUGAUUCGGGAGGUCGGAGAGGGGCCUGAGAGCGAGCAUUUCUGAGUUCCCGGAUGGGUCCCUGACGUGCCUCGGGGUGCACACUGCGCUGUCCGCUCUGCCCUGCUCGUCCAGCCUCAGCUGUUUCUGUUCGCUCCUUUCCCCUCCAAGCUCAGGGGCUCCCUGCCCAUCUUUGAACCCUCGCUCCAGCCUCGGGACCUUUGGCUUUUCCCUCUGCCAGCGUCCACUUGCCACCGCCCUCACCCGUUUUUCUCUUGAUUCAGAUUCACAAUCCUAGGGAGGCCGACCCUGGCUGGCCCGUGGUAAUACUGCAGCCCCUCCACCCUCAGUCUCCCUCCUGUCUGCUUUAUUUUUCCUAGAAUUUGCUAAUUCCAACACAACACCAGUACCUGUACUAUGUGUGUGGAUAGCUGUCUCUCUAGACAGGGAUUAUUGCAAAGCCAUGAGCUGAGUUGGUCCUGUGCAAUGCCUGACCUCUGCCACCUACGUUUUGGUGAGCGCCCUCUGUGACGAUCAUAUAAGGACAACGUCACUGGACUUGGAUUUUCUUCUCAGCAUUAUCGCUGUCUUGCAACUGUAAUCAUCUGAGCAAUGCAGCUUUAGAUCAUGAAAAGACGUCCGAGGACCAUAAAACAGGAUGUGCUGGAGGCUGUGGUGAGUGUGAAAAGACAAGUUUUUGGCUAAAGGACGGACUAAUGAUGAUCAGACAGACGAAUGAAUGCACAUUGCAGAGUUGUCAACAAGAGAACCGGAGAGUUCACAAGAGAGCCCAGAGAAGAGCCCACUCACUUCUUCUCUCCUGAGCAAUGUGAGUCCUGACAAA